AGAGUUUGAUCCUGGCUCAGAUUGAACGCUGGCGGCAUGCCUUACACAUGCAAGUCGAACGGUAACAGGCCGCAAGGUGCUGACGAGUGGCGAACGGGUGAGUAAUGCAUCGGAACGUGCCCAGUAGUGGGGGAUAGCCCGGCGAAAGCCGGAUUAAUACCGCAUACGACCUACGGGUGAAAGCGGGGGAUCGCAAGACCUCGCGCUAUUGGAGCGGCCGAUAUCAGAUUAGCUAGUUGGUGGGGUAAAAGCCCACCAAGGCGACGAUCUGUAGCUGGUCUGAGAGGACGACCAGCCACACUGGGACUGAGACACGGCCCAGACUCCUACGGGAGGCAGCAGUGGGGAAUUUUGGACAAUGGACGCAAGUCUGAUCCAGCCAUGCCGCGUGCGGGAAGAAGGCCUUCGGGUUGUAAACCGCUUUUGUCAGGGAAGAAAAGUCUUGGGUUAAUACCUCGGGACGAUGACGGUACCUGAAGAAUAAGCACCGGCUAACUACGUGCCAGCAGCCGCGGUAAU
Molecule: ribosomal RNA, 519 nt
Filed under: uncultured bacterium
Lineage: Bacteria
Description: bacterial SSU rRNA
Rfam family: Bacterial small subunit ribosomal RNA
Source: RNAcentral